This is a long non-coding RNA of Vitis vinifera (wine grape), 1300 nucleotides long. RefSeq lists it as uncharacterized. Lineage: Eukaryota; Viridiplantae; Streptophyta; Magnoliopsida; Vitales; Vitaceae. The record is from RefSeq and is a predicted model, not a curated record. The transcript is spliced from 3 exons.
UUCACUUUCAUCCUAAUCCAACAGAAUCUGACCAACAAAACUAUGGAUGCCCCCUAGUGUCUUUCACCCAAUGAUGUCAAUGAUGUUGCUUAGGAAUCUACUGGAAGCCUCAACCACCAACAUUUAUUGUGGACUGAAUCGAUCAUACGGCUAAACCUAAUACCAAAAUAGGUAAUCACCUCUAUUUUCCUGGCUUCUAACUCUGGGACGCUGGAUGGGUUGUAAAAUUCAAAGAGUGAUGGAGUGGAAUUCAGCUUUAUGGUUGAGAAAGAACAAAACCCACAGAAAAAGAAUCGACAUGGUGGAUGGAGUUGGAGUGGGAGAUGCCGCGUAUGACGUGUGCAAUUUAUUACCGCGUCUGCCAACUACCAACAACACUACGGAGACUUGGAAUAGGAAAGAUGGGAGGCGAGCCCCCUAAUAAAUGAACUGUAGGAUAAACUUUUUAAAGGUCUUGAAUAAAAUCUUUUACUUGUUAAAUAUAAACUAAAAUACUAAUUGUAUUAAUUUAAUUACUUAUUAAAUUUUGAUCCUCGGAAUCUAUGGACUCUGAUUGCGCUCCACGCUGGAAGCAAACAUGGAGAAAACGACGUCGCUUUAAAUGCCCUACAAAUUGUAAAUAUUUUAGUGGAGGAAAAAGGAAAUCAAAUAAAAUAAAAAACAAAAAAAAACAAAAAGCCAAGAAACGAAGGAGGUUCCUUCCUUCCAAAUUCCAAUCCAGCGUCAACCCAACCCACUCUAUAUAAACCUAUAUAUCGGUGUCUGGCUCAUCUUCUAGUGUGCCUUUUGUUUUUGGUAUCCGAAGGCCUUAGGGUUUGUUUGAUAAGGAAGAUCCACCAUGGGUGGAGGCAACGGCCAGAAGUCCAAGAUGGCUCGCGAGAAGAACAUGGAGAAGCAGAAAAACGCCGCCAGAGGAAGCCAGCUCGAAUCUAACAAGAAAGCCAUGAGCAUCCAGUGCAAGGUGUGCAUGCAAACAUUCAUUUGCACAACUUCAGAAGUGAAGUGCAGGGAGCAUGCAGAAGCAAAACACCCCAAAUCCGACGUUUAUACUUGUUUUCCUCAUCUGAAGAAGUAAAUAGAACUGGGAAACUGGAAACUGUGAUGGGUUUGGAACUUCAUCCCUAAUAUUUCAAUAUGAUCUAAGUUUGAAACUGUUUGUGGAAUAUGUUCAAAUUGUUUCUCUAGUGGUCUUGCCUAUCCCCUAUUCAAGUCUGUAGUCCCCGAAGUAAACAUGUAUUUUGGUGUUCUGUUCGUCUGAAUGUUGUCUCUUUGAAGGAAUGCAUUGCAGUCUUCAUUGCAA